Molecule: unclassified non-coding RNA, 344 nt
Filed under: soil metagenome
Description: partial contains 5.8S ribosomal RNA, internal transcribed spacer 2, and large subunit ribosomal RNA
Rfam family: 5.8S ribosomal RNA (bases 1-120)
Source: RNAcentral
GAUGAAGAACGCAGUGAAAUGCGAUAAGUAAUGUGAAUUGCAGAAUUCAGUGAAUCAUCGAAUCUUUGAACGCACAUUGCGCCCAUUAGUAUUCUAGUGGGCAUGCCUGUUCGAGCGUCAUUUCAACCCUUAAGCCCCUGUUGCUUAGCGUUGGGAGCCUACAGCCUGCUGUAGUUCCUCAAAGUUAGUGGCGGAGUCAGUUCACACUCUAGACGUAGUAAAAUCUUUAUCUCGCCUAUAGAUGAGCUGGCGCCUUGCCGUAAAAAACCCCUAAUCUUUUACAAGGUUGACCUCGGAUCAGGUAGGAAUACCCGCUGAACUUAAGCAUAUCAAUAAGCGGAGGA